ACAAUUAAAGAAAACACGAAUAUAUAUAUUACUGAAAUCAUGUCAAAAGAGUACAAGAGUAAGAAAAUACAACUUGACGAAAUCUCUCGAACUUGGACUGAAUCCCUUCAAUCUUUGCUCAAGUUAUCUCCCAAAGCUUUCUCUAUCUCUCAAUACACUCUCUUCGAUAUCUAAUAAUAAUAAAACCCUAAUAAUAAUAAUGUUUUAAUGGUUUCCUCGAAAAACAAUUCCGAUUUCCUAAAACAAGUUGGAUUCUGAGACAAAAUUCGUGGGCUGACUUUCAGGCCUGAUUCUGGGCUGAUCCUUUUGUCUUUAGAUAGCUGGACCACUUUAAACUUGUAGACAAUUAAGAUAUCUUCGCGUGGGCUGUUGAAUCGUCUAAUUCUGACGUCCGGAACUCAAGUUAUGGCCCAAACAAGAUUUGCUGCGCAGGUAGCCCAUAAAGUCCGAAUUUCCAUCAAAUACAAGCCCAAAUAAGCUAGUUUCAUCCAACUUAGGAAUAUUUAUUUUCCUGCCAUUAAACACUUAAAAUCAAUUAGUAAUUACCCGAUUAUUUACAAAAUACUACAAUUAUGGGAAUAAAAUCAUAUAAAAGCAUAUAUAAAUAUAUGCUCUAUCAAAUAUCCCCACACUUAGUGUUUUGCACGUCCUCGGGCAAAUAAAAUAAACUUAAGCUAACACCUAAUAGAUAUAUACCACUUCCGUAGGUGAUCACGGUUGCAUUUGGCAUAUGCAACAAGCCCUUUAAACCCCUAGGCAGCCCUAGUGGACGAGUAAGGUCUCGUGAGGGCCUAUAGUGAAUGUACCCACAAAAUUCAUUUUUUUUCUGCCAAGUCUUAAGAAUGCAACUAAUAUGAAUGCAAACUAAAUGAAUAUGCAUAGAUCCCAAUCAUGAAAUUAUCAACCUUGUCAACGUAUAAUCCUCAGAA
Molecule: long non-coding RNA, 929 nt
Filed under: Daucus carota (carrot)
Lineage: Eukaryota; Viridiplantae; Streptophyta; Magnoliopsida; Apiales; Apiaceae
Description: long non-coding RNA (DCAR_LNC006560)
Source: RNAcentral